UUUCAUGAUGAACGCUUUUUAAAUAUACGCUGGAAAUUACCGUCCAAGGUCUUCGGAUCACUGACGAUAACUAAUGGCUUUACUGAUC
This 88-nucleotide small nucleolar RNA is filed under the name Penicillium brasilianum. RNAcentral's name for it is "A. fumigatus snoRNA Afu_300". It matches the Rfam family "A. fumigatus snoRNA Afu_300". The record is from Rfam by way of RNAcentral. Lineage: Eukaryota; Fungi; Ascomycota; Eurotiomycetes; Eurotiales; Aspergillaceae.